RNAcentral lists this ribosomal RNA (1369 nucleotides) under metagenome. Its description in RNAcentral is "bacterial SSU rRNA". It matches the Rfam family "Bacterial small subunit ribosomal RNA". The record is from RNAcentral.
UAGUCGAACGCACCUUCGGGUGAGUGGCGGACGGGUGAGUAACGCGUGAGAAUCUGCCCUCAGGAGGGGGAUAACGGCUGGAAACGGCCGCUAAUACCCCAUAUGCCGCGAGGUGAAACGAGUUUUCGCCUGAGGAUGAGCUCGCGUCUGAUUAGCUAGUUGGUGGGGUAAGAGCCUACCAAGGCAUCGAUCAGUAGCUGGUCUGAGAGGAUGAUCAGCCACACUGGGACUGAGACACGGCCCAGACUCCUACGGGAGGCAGCAGUGGGGAAUUUUCCGCAAUGGGCGAAAGCCUGACGGAGCAACGCCGCGUGAGGGAUGAAGGCCUCUGGGCUGUAAACCUCUUUUCUCAAGGAAGAAGAUCUGACGGUACUUGAGGAAUAAGCCACGGCUAAUUCCGUGCCAGCAGCCGCGGUAAUACGGGAGUGGCAAGCGUUAUCCGGAAUUAUUGGGCGUAAAGCGUCCGCAGGCGGUCUUGAAAGUCUGUUGUUAAAGCGUGGAGCUUAACUCCAUUUCAGCAAUGGAAACUAGAAGACUAGAGUGUGGUAGGGGCAGAGGGAAUUCCCGGUGUAGCGGUGAAAUGCGUAGAUAUCGGGAAGAACACCAGUGGCGAAGGCGCUCUGCUGGGCCAUAACUGACGCUCAUGGACGAAAGCCAGGGGAGCGAAAGGGAUUAGAUACCCCUGUAGUCCUGGCCGUAAACGAUGAGCACUAGGUGUCGGGGGAAUCGACCCCCUCGGUGUCGUAGCCAACGCGUUAAGUGUUCCGCCUGGGGAGUACGCACGCAAGUGUGAAACUCAAAGGAAUUGACGGGGGCCCGCACAAGCGGUGGAGUAUGUGGUUUAAUUCGAUGCAACGCGAAGAACCUUACCGGGGUUUGACAUCCUGCGAAUCCCUUGGAAACGAGGGAGUGCCUUCGGGAGCGCAGAGACAGGUGGUGCAUGGCUGUCGUCAGCUCGUGUCGUGAGAUGUUGGGUUAAGUCCCGCAACGAGCGCAACCCACGUCUUUAGUUGCCAGCAUUCAGUUGGGCACUCUAGAGAGACCGCCGGUGAUAAACCGGAGGAAGGUGUGGAUGACGUCAAGUCAUCAUGCCCCUUACAUCCUGGGCUACACACGUACUACAAUGCUACGGACAAAGGGCAGCAAACUCGCGAGAGCUAGCAAAUCCCAUAAACCGUGGCUCAGUUCAGAUCGUAGGCUGCAACUCGCCUACGUGAAGGAGGAAUCGCUAGUAAUCGCAGGUCAGCAUACUGCGGUGAAUACGUUCCCGGGCCUUGUACACACCGCCCGUCACACCAUGGAAGUUGGCCACGCCCGAAGUCGUUACUCCAACCCUUGUGGAGGAGGACGCCGAAGGUGGGGCUGAUGA